CACGUAGGGCGCAAGCGUUGUCCGGAAUUAUUGGGCGUAAAGAGCUCGUAGGCGGUGUGUCACGUCGAUCGUGAAAACUUACAGCUUAACUGUGAGCGUGCGGUUGAUACGGGCAUCACUGGAGUUCGGCAGGGGAGACUGGAAUUCCUGGUGUAGCGGUGAAAUGCGCAGAUAUCAGGAGGAACACCAGUGGCGAAGGCGGGUCUCUGGGCCGAUACUGACGCUGAGGAGCGAAAGCGUGGGGAGCGAACAGG
This 254-nucleotide ribosomal RNA is filed under the name uncultured bacterium. RNAcentral describes it as "partial 16S ribosomal RNA". It matches the Rfam family "Bacterial small subunit ribosomal RNA", at positions 524 to 776 of the family's 1533-position model. The record is from RNAcentral.